UGGGGAAUUUUCCGCAAUGGGCGAGAGCCUGACGGAGCAAUGCCGCGUGGAGGUGGAAGGCCUACGGGUCGUCAACUUCUUUUCUCGGAGAAGAAACAAUGACGGUAUCUGAGGAAUAAGCAUCGGCUAACUCUGUGCCAG
This 141-nucleotide ribosomal RNA is filed under the name uncultured bacterium. RNAcentral describes it as "partial 16S rRNA". It matches the Rfam family "Bacterial small subunit ribosomal RNA", at positions 355 to 511 of the family's 1533-position model. The record is from RNAcentral.